CUACGUGCCAGCAGCCGCGGUAAUACGUAGGGUGCGAGCGUUAAUCGGAAUUACUGGGCGUAAAGCGAGCGCAGACGGUUACUUAAGCAGGAUGUGAAAUCCCCGGGCUCAACCUGGGAACUGCGUUCUGAACUGGGUAGCUAGAGUAUGUCAGAGGGGGGUAGAAUUCCACGUGUAGCAGUGAAAUGCGUAGAGAUGUGGAGGAAUACCGAUGGCGAAGGCAGCCCCCUGGGAUAAUACUGACGUUCAUGCUCGAAAGCGUGGGUAGCAAACAGGAUUAGAUACCCUGAUAGUCCACGCCCUAAACGAUGUCGAUUAGCUGUUGGGCAGCUUGACUGCUUAGUAGCGUAGCUAACGCGUGAAAUCGACCGCCUGGGGAGUACGGUCGCAAGAUUAAAACUCAAAGGAAUUGACGGGGACCCGCACAAGCGGUGGAUGAUGUGGAUUAAUUCGAUGCAACGCGAAGAACCUUACCUGGUCUUGACAU
Molecule: ribosomal RNA, 487 nt
Filed under: uncultured bacterium
Lineage: Bacteria
Description: bacterial SSU rRNA
Rfam family: Bacterial small subunit ribosomal RNA
Source: RNAcentral